RNAcentral lists this unclassified non-coding RNA (298 nucleotides) under uncultured fungus. RNAcentral's name for it is "partial contains small subunit ribosomal RNA, internal transcribed spacer 1, and 5.8S ribosomal RNA". The stretch from base 1 to 73 matches the Rfam family "Eukaryotic small subunit ribosomal RNA", at positions 1759 to 1831 of the family's 1831-position model. Lineage: Eukaryota; Fungi. The record is from RNAcentral.
GCAAACUUGGUCAUUUAGAGGAAGUAAAAGUCGUAACAAGGUUUCCGUAGGUGAACCUGCGGAAGGAUCAUUACCGAGUGCGGGCCCUCCGGGUCCAACCUCCCACCCGUGUCUACCGUACCUUGUUGCUUCGGCGGGCCCGCCGUCCUGGCCGCCGGGGGGCAUCGCGCCCCCGGGCCCGCGCCCGCCGAAGACCCCUUUGAACGCUGUCUGAAAAUUGUCGUCUGAGUGCAUUACCGCAAUCGUAAAAACUUUCAACAACGGAUCUCUUGGUUCCGGCAUCGAUGAAGAACGCAGC